AGAGUUUGAUCCUGGCUCAGGAUGAACGCUGGCGGCGUGCCUAACACAUGCAAGUCGAGCGAUUCUCUUCGGAGAAGAGCGGCGGACGGGUGAGUAACGCGUGGGUAACCUGCCCUGUACACACGGAUAACAUACCGAAAGGUAUGCUAAUACGAGAUAAUAUGCUUUUAUCGCAUGGUAGAAGUAUCAAAGCUCCGGCGGUACAGGAUGGACCCGCGUCUGAUUAGCUAGUUGGUAAGGUAACGGCUUACCAAGGCGACGAUCAGUAGCCGACCUGAGAGGGUGAUCGGCCACAUUGGAACUGAGACACGGUCCAAACUCCUACGGGAGGCAGCAGUGGGGAAUAUUGCACAAUGGGCGAAAGCCUGAUGCAGCAACGCCGCGUGAGCGAUGAAGGCCUUCGGGUCGUAAAGCUCUGUCCUCAAGGAAGAUAAUGACGGUACUUGAGGAGGAAGCCCCGGCUAACUACGUGCCAGCAGCCGCGGUAAUACGUAGGGGGCUAGCGUUAUCCGGAAUUACUGGGCGUAAAGGGUGCGUAGGUGGUUUCUUAAGUCAGAGGUGAAAGGCUACGGCUCAACCGUAGUAAGCCUUUGAAACUGGGAAACUUGAGUGCAGGAGAGGAGAGUGGAAUUCCUAGUGUAGCGGUGAAAUGCGUAGAUAUUAGGAGGAACACCAGUUGCGAAGGCGGCUCUCUGGACUGUAACUGACACUGAGGCACGAAAGCGUGGGGAGCAAACAGGAUUAGAUACCCUGGUAGUCCACGCCGUAAACGAUGAGUACUAGCUGUCGGAGGUUACCCCCUUCGGUGGCGCAGCUAACGCAUUAAGUACUCCGCCUGGGAAGUACGCUCGCAAGAGUGAAACUCAAAGGAAUUGACGGG
This 880-nucleotide ribosomal RNA is filed under the name uncultured bacterium. RNAcentral describes it as "bacterial SSU rRNA". It matches the Rfam family "Bacterial small subunit ribosomal RNA", at positions 8 to 917 of the family's 1533-position model. The record is from RNAcentral.